Molecule: long non-coding RNA, 963 nt
Filed under: Dicentrarchus labrax (European seabass)
Lineage: Eukaryota; Metazoa; Chordata; Actinopteri; Moronidae
Description: lncRNA (ENSDLAG00005015033.2)
Source: RNAcentral
UCACACUAUUUGUGUACGUAACACAUGCUGCGUUUCAGGGUGAAUGAUCUAAAAACAUUAAUUUCUUCCUCAGCGAUCAGUGGCAUAUCAUGGAAAAACCUCUUUUUGACAGUGGUUGGUCGGAUGUGAUGGGAGAGUCAUGUCGGCUGUGAGCGUUUAGAGUCAGCGGGGAUACAGAGGCUCCAGUGUAACGAGAGAGAGGCCUUUAUGUGCUGUGACUCAGAUGAACACAGCAGUUGUUGGGGAAAAGGUCAGUGGAUUUUGUUGGUAUUCUGCAGCCGUGCGCUUUUUGGCAGGACACUUGACGGCGCAGCGGGCACUCGAGCUUGAAAUGAUGUUGCUUCCUCCGGCCAGGAGGCGAUGGCUCCCAUGCCACACAGCAUACGCAGGAUGCCAUAAAUCCUACAGUUCUAGUCACGGCACAAGAAGAUCUCUUUAUGGCCCGUAUGGAGAGGAGGAAUGAUUACAACGACCCAUAACUGUUGCAGCGUACAUAUGACGUGUGAGUAUUGUUUUAACAGAAACUAAAACUGAGACUGAGAAGGUUUGGAAAAAAUAACCCUGAUGAUAUCACUGUGAUGUCAACAGGGUUAUCAGAUUGGACUUGAAACCUAAAACUGGAGGUGUGCGGUUUCAAAUACUUGGGCAUUUAGUAGGCAGGCAGUGUUAAAUGAAAGAGACUAUAGUUGCAUUGUGGGAAAUGUAGGAUCCUGUGUCUUUGGAUGUUGACUCACACUUGACUUGAAAAGCCAGGAUACAGAUUGAUAAAUAUAUAGGAUUGAUUUUGCCCAUUUGUUUAGUAAUCUGCCUCUCAUGAGUCUCAACUUUGCACUUAGAAGCACAAUACUAAAUCACUGCAGUGCCCCUUUUAAAGAUAUCGUGCGCAUCACUGACACUUGUGGUUUGGAGGAGCUACUUUAUAUUCCUUAUUGCUGUAAGACAUAUCUAAAUAAUACAUUAUUU